AUGACCCCAGGUCAGGCGGGACCACCCGCUGAGUUUAAGCAUAUCAAUAAGCGGAGGAAAAG
This 62-nucleotide ribosomal RNA is filed under the name Misbrookea strigosissima. RNAcentral describes it as "partial 25S ribosomal RNA". It matches the Rfam family "Eukaryotic large subunit ribosomal RNA", at positions 1 to 61 of the family's 3401-position model. Lineage: Eukaryota; Viridiplantae; Streptophyta; Magnoliopsida; Asterales; Asteraceae. The record is from RNAcentral.